RNAcentral lists this ribosomal RNA (468 nucleotides) under uncultured bacterium. RNAcentral describes it as "partial 16S ribosomal RNA". It matches the Rfam family "Bacterial small subunit ribosomal RNA", at positions 28 to 507 of the family's 1533-position model. The record is from RNAcentral.
GACGAACGCUGGCGGCAUGCUUAACACAUGCAAGUCGAACGGAAAGGCCCUGCUUUUGUGGGGUGCUCGAGUGGCGAACGGGUGAGUAACACGUGAGUAACCUGCCCUUGACUUUGGGAUAACUUCAGGAAACUGGGGCUAAUACCGGAUAGGAGCUCCUGCUGCAUGGUGGGGGUUGGAAAGUUUCGGCGGUUGGGGAUGGACUCGCGGCUUAUCAGCUUGUUGGUGGGGUAGUGGCUUACCAAGGCUUUGACGGGUAGCCGGCCUGAGAGGGUGACCGGCCACAUUGGGACUGAGAUACGGCCCAGACUCCUACGGGGGGCAGCAGUGGGGAAUAUUGCACAAUGGGCGGAAGCCUGAUGCAGCAACGCCGCGUGCGGGAUGACGGCCUUCGGGUUGUAAACCGCUUUCGCCUGUGACGAAGCGUGAGUGACGGUAAUGGGUAAAGAAGCACCGGCUAACUACGUG